RNAcentral lists this ribosomal RNA (253 nucleotides) under uncultured bacterium. Its description in RNAcentral is "partial 16S ribosomal RNA". It matches the Rfam family "Bacterial small subunit ribosomal RNA", at positions 524 to 776 of the family's 1533-position model. The record is from RNAcentral.
UACGUAGGGACCAAGCGUUGUUCGGAUUUACUGGGCGUAAAGAGCUUGUAGGCGGUUUGUCGCGUCUGCUGUGAAAAUCCGGGGCUCAACCCCGGACUUGCAGUGGGUACGGGCAGACUAGAGUGUGGUAGGGGAGACUGGAAUUCCUGGUGUAGCGGUGGAAUGCGCAGAUAUCAGGAGGAACACCGAUGGCGAAGGCAGGUCUCUGGGCCACUACUGACGCUGAGAAGCGAAAGCAUGGGGAGCGAACAGG